UACGGAGGAUCCAAGCGUUAUCCGGAUUUAUUGGGUUUAAAGGGUGCGCAGGCGGGAUAAUAAGUCAGUGGUGAAAGUUUGCAGCUUAACUGUAAAAUUGCCGUUGAAACUGUUAUUCUUGAGUGCAGACAAGGUAGGCGGAAUGUAUUGUGUAGCGGUGAAAUGCUUAGAUAUAAUACAGAACCCCGAUUGCGAAGGCAGCUUACCGGACUGUAACUGACGCUCAGGCACGAAAGCGUGGGGAUCAAACAGG
Molecule: ribosomal RNA, 253 nt
Filed under: uncultured bacterium
Lineage: Bacteria
Description: partial 16S ribosomal RNA
Rfam family: Bacterial small subunit ribosomal RNA
Source: RNAcentral